AGCGACUAGCGUGAAUCAUCGAAUCUUUGAACGCACUUUGCACUGCCCGGAAUCCCGGACAGUAUAUCUGUUUGAGUAAUACCUUCAAAUCUUUUACCAAAGUAGUUAGCUACUAGCAGUAGAAGAAAUUGGAAACUUGUACAGUUGUGCAUUUUCUUUAAUGGAUAGCGCCAAGUAUAGAGUGGUCCGAAAGGAACCUCUGUGAAUGGUUGGUAACACCAAAUAAGGAGCAAUCCUUGUAUGCUAUUCUCAAAUCAGAUAAGACUACCCGCUGAACUUAAGCAUAUCAAUAAGCGGAGG
This 300-nucleotide ribosomal RNA is filed under the name uncultured Dothideomycetes. RNAcentral's name for it is "eukaryotic LSU rRNA". The stretch from base 245 to 300 matches the Rfam family "Eukaryotic large subunit ribosomal RNA", at positions 1 to 56 of the family's 3401-position model. The record is from RNAcentral. Lineage: Eukaryota; Fungi; Ascomycota; Dothideomycetes.